RNAcentral lists this transfer RNA (73 nucleotides) under Salmo salar (Atlantic salmon). It matches the Rfam family "tRNA". Rfam says of the family: Transfer RNA (tRNA) molecules are approximately 80 nucleotides in length. Their secondary structure includes four short double-helical elements and three loops (D, anti-codon, and T loops). The record is from Rfam by way of RNAcentral. Lineage: Eukaryota; Metazoa; Chordata; Actinopteri; Salmoniformes; Salmonidae.
UCCCGUGUGGCGCAGUUAGUAGAGCAUGGUGUUUGCAACGCCAGGGUUGUGGGUUCGAUUCCCACAGGGGGAC